RNAcentral lists this ribosomal RNA (301 nucleotides) under uncultured bacterium. Its description in RNAcentral is "partial 16S ribosomal RNA". It matches the Rfam family "Bacterial small subunit ribosomal RNA", at positions 509 to 807 of the family's 1533-position model. The record is from RNAcentral.
CAGUCGCCGCGGUAAUACGUAGGGCGCAAGCGUUAUCCGGAAUUAUUGGGCGUAAAGAGCUCGUAAGCGGUUUGUCGCGUCUGCCGUGAAAGUCCGGGGCUCAACCCCGGAUCUGCGGUGGGUACGGGCAGACUAGAGUGAUGUAGGGGAGACUGGAAUUCCUGGUGUAGCGGUGAAAUGCGCAGAUAUCAGGAGGAACACCGAUGGCGAAGGCAGGUCUCUGGGCAUUAACUGACGCUGAGGAGCGAAAGCAUGGGGAGCGAACAGGAUUAGAUACCCCAGUAGUCCCUGUCUCUUAUAC